GGAAUCAACGCUGGCGGCGUGCCUAACACAUGCAAGUCGAACGAGAAAGUGGAGCAAUCCAUGAGUAAAGUGGCGACCGGGUGAGUAACACGUGACUAACCUACCUUCGAGUGGGGGAUAACCUCGGGAAACCGGGCUAAUACCGCAUAACAUCCUUGGAGUGGAAACUCUGGGGAUCAAAGGAGCAAUUCGCUGGAAGAGGGGGUCGCGGCUGAUUAGCUAGUUGGCGGGGUAAUGGCCCACCAAGGCUUUGAU
This 255-nucleotide ribosomal RNA is filed under the name uncultured bacterium. RNAcentral describes it as "partial small subunit ribosomal RNA". It matches the Rfam family "Bacterial small subunit ribosomal RNA", at positions 27 to 280 of the family's 1533-position model. The record is from RNAcentral.